RNAcentral lists this ribosomal RNA (388 nucleotides) under uncultured bacterium. RNAcentral's name for it is "bacterial SSU rRNA". It matches the Rfam family "Bacterial small subunit ribosomal RNA", at positions 28 to 416 of the family's 1533-position model. The record is from RNAcentral.
GACGAACGCUGGCGGCGUGCCUAACACAUGCAAGUCGAGCGGUAAGGCCCUUUCGGGGGUACGACGAGCGGCGAACGGGUGAGUAACACGUGGGUGACCUGCCCUUAGCUCUGGGAUAAGCCUGGGAAACUGGGUCUAAUACCGGAUAUGACUCCAUGACGCAUGUUGUGGGGUGGAAAGCCUUGUGCGGCUAGGGAUGGGCCCGCGGCCUAUCAGCUUGUUGGUGGGGUGAUGGCCUACCAAGGCGACGACGGGUAGCCGGCCUGAGAGGGCGACCGGCCACACUGGGACUGAGACACGGCCCAGACUCCUACGGGAGGCAGCAGUGGGGAAUCUUGCGCAAUGGGCGAAAGCCUGACGCAGCGACGCCGCGUGGGGAGUGACGGCC